Long non-coding RNA from Pipistrellus kuhlii (Kuhl's pipistrelle), 205 nucleotides. RefSeq lists it as uncharacterized. NCBI's taxonomy places the organism in Eukaryota, Metazoa, Chordata, Mammalia, Chiroptera, Vespertilionidae. The transcript is spliced from 2 exons. The record is from RefSeq and is a predicted model, not a curated record.
AGAGAAAAAUAUUGAAAACCUAUUAGAAGAAAUAAUGACAGAAAACUUUCCCUACCUGAUGAAAGAAAUUGAUUUACAAACUUACAAAUUCAGGAAGCACAGAGAGUCCUAAACAAGAUUAACCCAAAGAAGCCCACAUCAACACACAGCAUAGUUAAAAUGCCAAAGGUUAAAGACAAAAGAGAGAAUCUUAAAAGCAGCAAAA